This 148-nucleotide signal recognition particle RNA is filed under the name Pan troglodytes (chimpanzee). Its description in RNAcentral is "Metazoan signal recognition particle RNA". It matches the Rfam family "Metazoan signal recognition particle RNA". From Rfam's summary of the family: The signal recognition particle (SRP) is a universally conserved ribonucleoprotein. It is involved in the co-translational targeting of proteins to membranes. Lineage: Eukaryota; Metazoa; Chordata; Mammalia; Primates; Hominidae. The record is from Rfam by way of RNAcentral.
ACUGGGCAUGAUGGUACAUGCCUGUAGUCCCAGCUACUCAGGAAGCUGAGGCAGGAGGAUUGCUUGAGCUCAGGAGGUCGAGACUGCAGUGAGCCAUGAUGGUGCCACUGCACUCUAGCCUGGGUGACAGAGUGAGACCCUGUCUCAA